This 377-nucleotide ribosomal RNA is filed under the name uncultured bacterium. RNAcentral describes it as "bacterial SSU rRNA". It matches the Rfam family "Bacterial small subunit ribosomal RNA", at positions 521 to 896 of the family's 1533-position model. The record is from RNAcentral.
UAAUACGUAGGGUGCGAGCGUUAAUCGGAAUUACUGGGCGUAAAGCGUGCGCAGGCGGUUCUCCAAGUCCGUUGUGAAAGCCCCGGGCUCAACCUGGGAAUGGCAGUGGAAACUAGGGGACUGGAAUCUGGCAGAGGGGGGUGGAAUGCCGCGUGUAGCAGUGAAAUGCGUAGAGAUGCGGCGGAACACCGAUGGCGAAGGCAGCCCCCUGGGCUGAGAUUGACGCUCAGGCACGAAAGCGUGGGGAGCAAACAGGAUUAGAUACCCUGGUAGUCCACGCCCUAAACGAUGUCAACUGGUUGUUGGUGGGGUUAAACCCAUUAGUAACGAAGCUAACGCGUGAAGUUGACCGCCUGGGGAGUACGGCCGCAAGGUUA